UGGGGAAUAUUGCACAAUGGGCGAAAGCCUGAUGCAGCAACGCCGCGCGAGGGACGACGGCCUUCGGGUUGUAAACCUCUUUUAGCAAGGAAGAAGCGAAAGUGACGGUACUUGCAGAAAAACGCGCCGGCUAACUACGUGCCAGCAGCCGCGGUAAUACGUAGGGCGCAAGCGUUAUCCGGAAUUAUUGGGCGUAAAGAGCUCGUAGGCGGUUUGUCGCGUCUGCUGUGAAAACCCGAGGCUCAACCUCGGGCCUGCAGUGGGUACGGGCAGACUAGAGUGCGGUAGGGGAGAUUGGAACUCCUGGUGUAGCGGUGGAAUGCGCAGAUAUCAGGAAGAACACCGAUGGCGAAGGCAGACCUCUGGGCCGUAACUGACGCUGGGGAGCG
RNAcentral lists this ribosomal RNA (389 nucleotides) under uncultured bacterium. Its description in RNAcentral is "partial 16S ribosomal RNA". It matches the Rfam family "Bacterial small subunit ribosomal RNA", at positions 355 to 755 of the family's 1533-position model. The record is from RNAcentral.